AUUGAACGCUGGCGGCAGGCUUAACACAUGCAAGUCGAGCGGGGUGAUGGUGCUUGCACUAUCACUUAGCGGCGGACGGGUGAGUAAUGCUUAGGAAUCUGCCUAUUAGUGGGGGACAACAUCUCGAAAGGGAUGCUAAUACCGCAUACGUCCUACGGGAGAAAGCAGGGGAUCACUUGUGACCUUGCGCUAAUAGAUGAGCCUAAGUCGGAUUAGCUAGUUGGGGGGGUAAAGGCCUACCAAGGCGACGAUCUGUAGCGGGUCUGAGAGGAUGAGCAGCCACACUGGGACUGGGGAACGGCCCAGACUCCUACGGGAGGCACCAGUGGGGAAUAUUGGACAAUGGGGGGAACCCUGAUCCAGCCAUGCCGCGUGUGUGAAGAAGGCCUUAUGGUUGUAAAGCACUUUAAGCGAGGAGGAGGCUCUUUUGGUUAAUACCCAAGAUGAGUGGACGUUACUCGCAGAAUAAGCACCGGCUAACUCUGUGCCAGCCGCCGCCGUAA
This 503-nucleotide ribosomal RNA is filed under the name uncultured bacterium. RNAcentral's name for it is "partial 16S ribosomal RNA". It matches the Rfam family "Bacterial small subunit ribosomal RNA", at positions 30 to 523 of the family's 1533-position model. The record is from RNAcentral.